UACGUAGGGUGCGAGCGUUAAUCGGAAUUACUGGGCGUAAAGCGUGCGCAGGCGGUUCGUCGUGUCGGUGGUGAAAUCCCCGGGCUUAACCUGGGAAUGGCCAUGGAAACUGGCGAACUGGAGUGCGGCAGAGGGGGGUGGAAUUCCGCGUGUAGCAGUGAAAUGCGUAGAGAUGCGGAGGAACACCGAUGGCGAAGGCAGCCCCCUGGGCUAGCACUGACGCUCAGGCACGAAAGCGUGGGGAGCAAACAGG
Molecule: ribosomal RNA, 253 nt
Filed under: uncultured bacterium
Lineage: Bacteria
Description: partial 16S ribosomal RNA
Rfam family: Bacterial small subunit ribosomal RNA
Source: RNAcentral